UGGGGCCUGCCUUAAUACAUGCAGUCGAGCGAACAGAUAAGGAGCUUGCUCCUUUGACGUUAGCGGCGGACGGGUGAGUAACACGUGGGUAACCUACCUAUAAGACUGGAAUAACUCCGGGAAACCGGGGCUAAUGCUGGAUAAUAUUUAGAACCGCAUGGUUCUAAAGUGAAAGAUGGUUUUGCUAUCACUUAUAGAUGGACCCGCGCCGUAUUAGCUAGUUGGUGGGGUAAUGGCUUACCAAGGCAACGAUACGUAGCCGACCUGAGAGGGUGAUCGGCCACACUGGAACUGAGACACGGUCCAGACUCCUACGGGAGGCAGCAGUAGGGAAUCUUCCGCAAUGGGCGAAAGCCUGACGGAGCAACGCCGCGUGAGUGAUGAAGGUCUUCGGAUCGUAAAACUCUGUUAUUAGGGAAGAACAAAUGUGUAAGUAACUGUGCACGUCUUGACGGUACCUAAUCAGAAAGCCACGGCUAACUACGUGCCAGCAGCCGCGGUAAUACGUAGGUGGCAAGCGUUAUCCGGAAUUAUUGGGCGUAAAGCGCGCGUAGGCGGUUUCUUAAGUCUGAUGUGAAAGCCCACGGCUCAACCGUGGAGGGUCAUUGGAAACUGGGAAACUUGAGUGCAGAAGAGGAAAGUGGAAUUCCAUGUGUAGCGGUGAAAUGCGCAGAGAUAUGGAGGAACACAGUGGCGAAGGCGACUUUCUGGUCUGUAACUGACGCUGAUGUGCGAAGCGUGGGAUCAAAC
This 750-nucleotide ribosomal RNA is filed under the name Staphylococcus cohnii. Its description in RNAcentral is "bacterial SSU rRNA". It matches the Rfam family "Bacterial small subunit ribosomal RNA", at positions 38 to 773 of the family's 1533-position model. The record is from RNAcentral. Lineage: Bacteria; Bacillati; Bacillota; Bacilli; Caryophanales; Staphylococcaceae.